UGGGGAAUAUUGGACAAUGGGCGCAAGCCUGAUCCAGCCAUGCCGCGUGAGUGACGAAGUCCUUAGGGUUGUAAAGCUCUUUUGGCGGGGAAGAUAAUGACGGUACCCGCAGAAUAAGCUCCGGCUAACUUCGUGCCAGCAGCCGCGGUAAUACGAAGGGAGCUAGCGUUGUUCGGAAUCACUGGGCGUAAAGCGCACGUAGGCGGACUUUCAAGUCAGGGGUGAAAUCCCGGGGCUCAACCUCGGAACUGCCUUUGAUACUGUUGGUCUCGAGUCCGGAAGAGGUGAGUGGAAUUCCUAGUGUAGAGGUGAAAUUCGUAGAUAUUAGGAAGAACACCGGUGGCGAAGGCGGCUCACUGGUCCGGUACUGACGCUGAGGUGCGAAAGCGUGGGGAGCAAACA
This 402-nucleotide ribosomal RNA is filed under the name uncultured bacterium. RNAcentral's name for it is "bacterial SSU rRNA". It matches the Rfam family "Bacterial small subunit ribosomal RNA", at positions 355 to 774 of the family's 1533-position model. The record is from RNAcentral.